Molecule: ribosomal RNA, 464 nt
Filed under: Vreelandella stevensii
Lineage: Bacteria; Pseudomonadati; Pseudomonadota; Gammaproteobacteria; Oceanospirillales; Halomonadaceae
Description: partial 16S ribosomal RNA
Rfam family: Bacterial small subunit ribosomal RNA
Source: RNAcentral
CCUACGGGUGGCAGCAGUGGGGAAUAUUGGACAAUGGGCGAAAGCCUGAUCCAGCCAUGCCGCGUGUGUGAAGAAGGCCUUCGGGUUGUAAAGCACUUUCAGUGGGGAAGAAAGCCUUGGGGCUAAUACCCUCGAGAAAGGACAUCACCCACAGAAGAAGCACCGGCUAACUCCGUGCCAGCAGCCGCGGUAAUACGGAGGGUGCGAGCGUUAAUCGGAAUUACUGGGCGUAAAGCGCGCGUAGGCGGUCUGAUAAGCCGGUUGUGAAAGCCCCGGGCUCAACCUGGGAACGGCAUCCGGAACUGUCAGGCUAGAGUGCAGGAGAGGAAGGUAGAAUUCCCGGUGUAGCGGUGAAAUGCGUAGAGAUCGGGAGGAAUACCAGUGGCGAAGGCGGCCUUCUGGACUGACACUGACGCUGAGGUGCGAAAGCGUGGGUAGCAAACAGGAUUAGAUACCUUGUAGUC